Molecule: long non-coding RNA, 2544 nt
Organism: Capra hircus (goat)
Lineage: Eukaryota; Metazoa; Chordata; Mammalia; Artiodactyla; Bovidae
Exons: 2
Source: RefSeq, a predicted model, not a curated record
GACUCCAUGGACUGCAGCCUACCAGGCCCCUCCGUGCAUGGAAUUUCCCAGGCACGAGUAUUGGAGUGGGUUGCCACUGCCCUCUCCGAGGCUAAGGAAACCCAAAGGGCUGAUUUUCUCCGUAACAACCAUGUGGACACUGUCUGCAUUUACGUUAUAUAGUUCUUUUAAACUGAACGUUCUCAUUCUUUGGCUCCAGAUCUGGAUCUGAGCUCGGAGGAGGGAAGCCUGGAGAGAAGAGUUCCCAGCUCCCGCUGCUGCACUGGUCUUCAUUGCCAGCCCUCUCCUCCCAUGCACCUCCUGCAUUUUUAAUGUUGUGAGUGUUGCUAAUGGGCUGAUGGAGUAAAGCUUGCUUUUUGCCAUCAUUCAAGCUGCAGCCCCAGCUGUCAGCACUACUUGGGAGAGGAAAAGUGAUCCCUUUGAGUAGGGGGAAAACAGCGGGCCCUCACUGCAGCCCUUCUGCAAUUUCUCUGGCUCCAAGGCGUAUCAAUUUGCAAGAGUUUGAGGACCACUGCUUUGUGGCCAGGCAUGCUUGCCCUCCUGGCCAGCCAGGAUCGCAGGAGUGCUAAGAGGUGGGUAUCAGUUUGACCCUGGGCUUAUCUCUUUGCCCAUCGUGCUCUUGGCAUCUGUUCCAGCCCUCUAUCUUCCACCUCAGAUGGAAUCAGAUGGUAACAACUACAAACCAAUUCUUUACCUCCACUGCUGCCCUGCCCAGCAACACCCCUCAGUGCCAGCCACCGACUUCCCCGUCUCUGCAUUUCACUCACUCAGCAAAGUUUCCACGGAUCCUCCACUACGGCAGCUCUGCGGUCCCUCUCCGGUGCUGUAUGAAGGAGCUGACCUAACUAUGCUCAGAGCAAGAGAGUAGAGAGUCAUGAGUGAAUGCAGACACAUGAGACACAACCAAGCAUCUGUUCACAGGACAAAACCCCAGCCAGAAGGACUUGACUGGGCUUGGAUUGAAUCCCAGGAGCCAAAAACACUGACGGACAAGGUGCGUUUUAUUUUCUACAGCAGCUGAGACUGAGGGCCACUGGGGCUGGAAGGUAUAAACUAAUCUCCCUGGGCUAACAAUGGGUUGAGAAAGGAUUCCUAAAACAGGAAUUGCUUUCUUUAAGACCUUUCCAAAUACUGAAUGUUAAAACCAAGUUAAAUUCACAAGAAGCUAAUCUUUUAAAUAUUCCCUCUUCUACCCCUCAUUUUUACAUUCCAGAGAUUUUUUUUUAAUGCAGAAUUUCUCCUUCACUCAUAACAUGGUGUGUGCUAACAAUUUCACUAGAGACAAAAACCUGUACAGGUACUAAUUAACAACAGAAAUGACACCUCGGGGGACGUCUCUGGUGAUCUGCUGGCUAAGACUCUGCGCUCUCAAUGCAGGGGCCUGGGUUUGCUCCCUGGUCAGGGAACUAGAUCCCACAUGCUGCAGUGAAGAAGAUCCCAAGUGCUGCAACUGAGACCCAGUGGAGCCAAAUCUUUUUUUUUUUAAAGAGAAAAAUGACAUCCGGGGAGGGACACUGACUUUGGACCCCAGCAAAGAGUGGGGGGGGGUGUCAACUAAUUUUGCUGGAGACUUGGGCAAGGGCUGUAAAACCAUUAAUUUAGUCCCCUUCUUGGCCUUAACUCUUUCAGAUGCUGGGACAGAGCAGGAGGGAGAUUUCCAACUUCGCCAGCACCUUCCCUCCUCCGUUCCACAGCCUAGCAGUCUCCCCCGGGAAAGGUAGCAGCUGGAUGCCUGGAUCACCAACAAGCUAUACCGGAGGGGGAUGACAUCACCAGACCAGGGAGCUGGGUGUUUCCUAGCAAAACAAACACCGGCGGCUGUGUAAGCAAUGGCUGCAGACUGUUGGGGCAGCAGGUGUGGCACUUACCUGGGAGGGGGAGCUGCCACAUGCUGAAGCAAAGCUGUCCUUGCUUACGGGGGGAACCAGCUGGAUGGUGGGGCUCACGAUGAGCAGGGAAGAAAACUGAAGGCAUCUACCACUGAAGUUUCUUACGAGUUAAUAACACAUGCACUAAGAACACAUCUUCAAAUACAUUCUCAGAAGGCUGUCUUCCUCAAUGUAAAAAGCCCUUGAUAAGUCGGGGACCCACAUCAAUUGAGCUGAUCAGUGAGAGCGUAAACUCUGUUCUGGGGCAAGAAGCUCUUCCAAACCUUUUGCUUUUUUAGAAGCAGAGGAAUCAAAAACAGAAGGAGCCAAAACUUGCCCUGACGACCGGGUAACAUAGAGACUGGUGACACUGGAUGUAAGGUGCCAUGUUCGACAGGAAAAAAUCUCAAACUCAGGGAUUUGAGAUACUAGCCCCAGACCCCUAACACUUGGCCACUGCCCUAGGCAUGAUGCACCUCCAAGAAAUUCAGCACUGUUUAUUAGGGGUUGGACUUCCACUUUUAUUUUCAUUUUUACCUGGUUGGUCCCUGUGUUCUUAAGAACUGGCCCCAUUUAUGGCUGAAUAGAUUAUCCAUCCCCACCAUCCUUCAUAUAUUUCUAGAGGUCUCUAAUGGCGAUCCUGGGCUCAGAACAUUAAAAACUGGGAUUUCUUUUA